AAGGACUUGGCGGUGCUUUAUACCCCCUAGAGGAGCCUGUUCUGUAAUCGAUAAACCCCGAUCAACCUCACCAAUUUUUGCUAAUUCAGCCUUUAUACCGCCAUCUUCAGCGAACCCUAAAAAGGAAUAAAAGUAAGCACAAUGAUUCAAAACAUAAAUAAGUUAGGUCAAGGUGCAGCCUAUAGAUUGGAAUGAAAUGGGCUACAUUCUUUAUUAAAAAGUAUAACGGAAAUUAUUAUGAAACUAAAAAUUGAAGGAGGAUUUAGCAGUAAAUUAAGAGUAGAG
This 285-nucleotide ribosomal RNA is filed under the name Erinaceus europaeus (western European hedgehog). Its description in RNAcentral is "partial 12S ribosomal RNA". The record is from RNAcentral. Lineage: Eukaryota; Metazoa; Chordata; Mammalia; Eulipotyphla; Erinaceidae.